CAUACAAAUGACUUCUUAUAGAGAACCACUGAAUGGAAUGAAACCAAACAUAGCAUGAAUGUUCCUUAUGAGGUGCUGACCAAGUUUUGUUGCUUUUUAGCCGAUCCAUCAUCCAAGAUGGCCGCCAACGGGGGACUUAGUUUAACAUAGGACCCUAUGGAAAAUACAUACAAGUUUCUUCUUUUAGAGAACCAUUGAAUUGAAUGAAACCAAACAUGUUUGUUCCUUUCCUUUUGAGGUGCUGGCCAAGUGUUGUUACUUUGUAGUCAAAUUUUAUCUUUUUUUAUAUAAUUUCAAAAACCCAAGAAAAGUCAGGUGA
Molecule: long non-coding RNA, 319 nt
Filed under: Mytilus galloprovincialis (Mediterranean mussel)
Lineage: Eukaryota; Metazoa; Mollusca; Bivalvia; Mytilida; Mytilidae
Source: RNAcentral